CGGACGGGUGAGUAACACGUGGAUAACCUACCUAUAAGACUGGGAUAACUUCGGGAAACCGGAGCUAAUACCGGAUAAUAUUUUGAACCGCAUGGUUCAAAAGUGAAAGACGGUCUUGCUGUCACUUAUAGAUGGAUCCGCGUUGCAUUAGCUAGUUGGUAAGGUAACGGCUUACCAAGGCAACGAUGCAUAGCCGACCUGAGAGGGUGAUCGGCCACACUGGAACUGAGACACGGUCCAG
Molecule: ribosomal RNA, 241 nt
Filed under: uncultured Staphylococcus sp.
Lineage: Bacteria; Bacillati; Bacillota; Bacilli; Caryophanales; Staphylococcaceae
Description: partial 16S ribosomal RNA
Rfam family: Bacterial small subunit ribosomal RNA
Source: RNAcentral